Molecule: ribosomal RNA, 404 nt
Filed under: Verrucomicrobiota bacterium
Lineage: Bacteria; Pseudomonadati; Verrucomicrobiota
Description: Verrucomicrobia bacterium partial 16S ribosomal RNA
Rfam family: Bacterial small subunit ribosomal RNA
Source: RNAcentral
UGGGGAAUAUUGGACAAUGGGCGCAAGCCUGAUCCAGCCAUGCCGCGUGAGUGAUGAAGGCCCUAGGGUUGUAAAGCUCUUUCACCGGUGAAGAUAAUGACGGUAACCGGAGAAGAAGCCCCGGCUAACUUCGUGCCAGCAGCCGCGGUAAUACGAAGGGGGCUAGCGUUGUUCGGAUUUACUGGGCGUAAAGCGCACGUAGGCGGACUUUUAAGUCAGGGGUGGAAUCCCGGGGCUCAACCCCGGAACUGCCUUUGAUACUGGAAGUCUUGAGUAUGGUAGAGGUGAGUGGAAUUCCGAGUGUAGAGGUGAAAUUCGUAGAUAUUCGGAGGAACACCAGUGGCGAAGGCGGCUCACUGGACCAUUACUGACGCUGAGGUGCGAAAGCGUGGGGAGCGAACAGG